GCGGCGAGCGGCAGCGAGGAGCGUGCGGCGGCGAGCGGCAGCGAGGAGCGAGCGGCGGCGAUAGGCGAGAGGUGACGACGAGUGACGGCGAGCGACGAGCGGCGACAAACAGCGAGCUCGAUCCUCUCUGAAUUCGACUCGUUUGAAAGUCAAGAAAUUUUUAGUUCUCAAAAGACCCAAUUAGAACUUUAUUUGGAUGAACCAAGACUUGACCGUGGUGCACAACUCGACAUUCUUUCAUUUUGGAAGACUAAUGAGCAUAGAUACCCCGAGCUCUCUCUAUUGGCAAGGGACAUAAUGACGGUUCCUAUUUCUACGGUUGCUUCAGAGAGUACUUUCAGUGUAGGUGGGAGAAUCCUUAACCAAUACCGUAGCACUCUUAAGCCUAACAAUGUGGAGGCUUUAGUUUGCACGCGUGAUUGGUUAUAUGGUAUCAAAGAUGACAUGCAACCAAAAUUAGAUGAACUUUCUGAGGAUAUCAUGCAAUUAGAUAUUGGAGAAUCUAUGCCAACACAAGUAUGAAUCUCUCAUACUAUGAUGCGGCCACAUUUGAUUGCCUCAUGAAGACUUAUGGGUUCCUUACACCAGACUGCAAAGAGUACAUGAAUCUACUGCAAAGAGUUAAAGAAGAGAGGGAACUAAAAUAUAUGAGGAAAAGAAGGAUAACUACAUGCUACAUUAUUGUAUAAUGUCUACAUAUGUUUUCCUUUACUGCUCUUCAUUGCUUAUUGCGGUAGGAAACCCCCUCGACCAAUAUUUCCAGGUCCUUGUGAAGACAUUUUUCCUUGCGACAUGAUUUGGGAGCGUCCAGGGCCUUGAACAAAUGACUGCUGCUGCUGCUGCAAGUGUUGCUGUUGUAGCUACUACUGGAGAUGUUGAUGCUGCUGUGACUGCUGAAGUUGUUGUUGCUGUUGAAGUUAGUGCUGCUGAAGCUGCUGCUGCUGCUGGAGUUGUUGUUGCUAUUGCGGUUGAAGUUUAGAUUAGUCUGUGUCUAAAGAGUUGCAUCGAUGUAUUUUUGUUUGCCGAUAUUUACAAUUCGUUGAAGUACAUUUAAAUACUGAAUAUGUCUUUGAAAUAACUCCAUGUUGUGAGUAGUGAU
Long non-coding RNA from Asparagus officinalis (garden asparagus), 1099 nucleotides. RefSeq lists it as uncharacterized. The transcript is spliced from 4 exons. Lineage: Eukaryota; Viridiplantae; Streptophyta; Magnoliopsida; Asparagales; Asparagaceae. The record is from RefSeq and is a predicted model, not a curated record.